This is a long non-coding RNA of Grammomys surdaster, 1010 nucleotides long. RefSeq lists it as uncharacterized. The transcript is spliced from 3 exons. The record is from RefSeq and is a predicted model, not a curated record. Lineage: Eukaryota; Metazoa; Chordata; Mammalia; Rodentia; Muridae.
GCGGUCCCCACAGACAAGGAAGUCACCUGGGGGUAGGAAAGCACUACAUGUGUGCCAUCUUUGCCUGCUUGGGGGAAGCAGGUACCUGCAACGUUCCUUGACAAAGAUGGCCUUGCCCGUGGGUGCAGCCGAGAUCUCCAAGCAAGCUACCACCCCACCAGGGCCUGAUGCCAACAGAAGAAGCUCCUCAUACCCACGCAGGGCCCAGCUCAGGCUGUGGACCUUCCCCUGGAACAGGUUCUGUUCAACAGCAGCAGUGGGGGUGUUGAUGGGGACAACCUUCACAAGACCCUCCCCAUUGGCCAAGGCACAGAGUCCAAAACCCUCAGGACCAGGAGCUGCCUCCAGCAGGCAGUACGACUGAAAUCGAUUGUCCUCCAGCAGUUUUUCCCAGUUUUUGACCUCAAGGUCGUAGAGGUACAGGGCCCCCUCAUCAGUCACGGCCAGUACUCGCCAAGAACCAGCCAGAGUCACAGCCUUGAGGGCACCUGGCCGGCUAGGAGAUUUGAAGCACAGAGAUGAGACACCCAGGCCUGGGUAGCCCCGGCUUGACAGGUGCCAGAGCCGAAUUCCUGAGUCGUCUCCCCCAGUGACCACCCAGGUUUGCCUCUCGUGAGUAGCUAUGGCCCGGAUCCCUCGGCCCCGGUGGCCCCGAAAGGCUUGAAGGAUCUCCCCUUCGUGGUUCCACACCAAGCAGACACAGUCCUCUCCUGCACUGAUGAGGCACCCGGAGGUCGCCCACCUUCCAGAUUCGAACACUUCGAUCUUCUGAAGCAGUUGCCAGCAGGCCCUUGCUUUCCAGGGGUUUUGAUCAUCUGAGUUCACCUACGGGUGCACCGCCCCUCCCCCAACAUGGACCGACUGCGUCCCCCACACCUUCCCGAGUCUCUGUCCAUCCUUUCAACGCUGGCUGCCACGGCUACCACAGACUUUUGUCUCGAGCCCCGCCCUCCUCCCGCUGGCCAGUGUUUCCCGCCACCUCCGAACCUGCUUUAUCCCCCCCCACCCCA